CAAUUGCAGACAAACUUCAUCCGGACUCCUACGGAAGCCGGACUCCAUCUCUAAUUUCAACUGCAGACAAGCUUCAUCCGGACUCCUACGGGAGCUGGAACCUCAUCCCCGACUUCGACCGUGGGUAAGCUCCGUCCGGACUCCUACGGGAGCCAGAUUUUGCCUCUGACUUCAAUUGCAAGUAGACUCCGUCUGGACUCCCAAGGGAGCCAGACUUCGCCCCGACAUCACCUACGGGAGCCAGACUCCCAUAGCCCCAC
RNAcentral lists this long non-coding RNA (260 nucleotides) under Elaeis guineensis (African oil palm). Its description in RNAcentral is "long non-coding RNA (EGUI_LNC077672)". Lineage: Eukaryota; Viridiplantae; Streptophyta; Magnoliopsida; Arecales; Arecaceae. The record is from RNAcentral.